UUCUUGGUCAUUUAGAGGAAGUAAAAGUCGUAACAAGGUUUCCGUAGGUGAACCUGCGGAAGGAUCAUUAAAGAAAUUUAAUAAUUUUGAAAAUGGAUUUUUUUGUUUUGGCAAGAGCAUGAGAGCUUUUACUGGGCAAGAAGACAAGAGAUGGAGAGUCCAGCCGGGCCUGCGCUUAAGUGCGCGGUCUUGCUAGGCUUGUAAGUUUCUUUCUUGCUAUUUCAAACGGUGAGAGAUUUCUGUGCUUUUGUUAUAGGACAAUUAAAACCGUUUCAAUACAACACACUGUGGAGUUUUCAUAUCUUUGCAACUUUUUCUUUGGGCAUUCGAGCAAUCGGGGCCCAGAGGUAACAAACACAAACAAUUUUAUCUAUUCAUUAAAUUUUUGUCAAAAACAAGAAUUUUCGUAACUGGAAAUUUUAAAAUAUUAAAAACUUUCAACAACGGAUCUCUUGGUUCUCGCAUCGAUGAAGAACGCAGCGAGAUGCGAUACGUAAUGUGAAUUGCAGAAUUCCGUGAAUCAUCGAAUCUUUGAACGCACAUUGCGCCCCUUGGUAUUCCAGGGGGCAUGCCUGUUUGAGCGUCAUUUCCUUCUCAAACAUUCUGUUUGGUAGUGAGUGAUACUCUUUGGAGUUAACUUGAAAUUGCUGGCCUUUUCAUUGGAUGUUUUUUUUCCAAAGAGAGGUUUCUCUGCGUGCUUGAGGUAUAAUGCAAGUACGGUCGUUUUAGGUUUUACCAACUGCGGCUAAUCUUUUUUUAUACUGAGCGUAUUGGAACGUCAUCGAUAAGAAGAGAGCGUCUAGGCGAACAAUGUUCUUAAAGUUUGACCUCAAAUCAGGUAGGAGUACCCGCUGAACUUAAGCAUAUCAAUAAGC
Molecule: ribosomal RNA, 875 nt
Filed under: uncultured fungus
Lineage: Eukaryota; Fungi
Description: eukaryotic LSU rRNA
Rfam family: 5.8S ribosomal RNA (bases 433-586)
Source: RNAcentral